CCUCGCUGUCUCCCCGCAACCUACCCCUCUGCCCGUGUCAUCCUGGGGGCAGCCCCACUGUCUCCCUAAGUCCUACAGGUCAAAGACAUCAUUCUGGAUCUCUCCCUCCCUUUACCACCUCACUACCAGCCCAUCGGUCCAAUUCCAGGCUCAGUCACACACCUUUCCCCACAACCUUUACAAGAAAUGGCUUGGUCCACAGGAGCAGAGGCCAGAAGCAGUAAAGAC
Long non-coding RNA from Pteropus alecto (black flying fox), 228 nucleotides. RefSeq lists it as uncharacterized. NCBI's taxonomy places the organism in Eukaryota, Metazoa, Chordata, Mammalia, Chiroptera, Pteropodidae. The record is from RefSeq and is a predicted model, not a curated record. The transcript has 2 exons.